CCUACGGGAGGCUGCAGUAGGGAAUAUUGCUCAAUGGGGGAAACCCUGAAGCAGCAACGCCGCGUGGAGGAUGAAGGUUUUCGGAUUGUAAACCCCUUUUGUUAGAGAAGAUAAUGACGGUAGCUAACGAAUAAGCACCGGCUAACUCCGUGCCAGCAGCCGCGGUAAUACGGAGGGUGCAAGCGUUACUCGGAAUCACUGGGCGUAAAGGGCGCGUAGGCGGGAUAGCAAGUCAGAUGUGAAAUCCUAUGGCUUAACCAUAGAACUGCAUUUGAAACUGUUAUUCUAGAGUAUGGGAGAGGUAGGUGGAAUUCUUGGUGUAGUGGUGAAAUCCGUAGAGAUCAAGAAGAAUACUCAUUGCGAAGGCGGCCUGCUAGAACAUAACUGACGCUGAUGCGCGAAAGCGUGGGGAGCAAACAGGAUUAGAUACCCGAGUAGUC
This 440-nucleotide ribosomal RNA is filed under the name uncultured bacterium. Its description in RNAcentral is "partial 16S ribosomal RNA". It matches the Rfam family "Bacterial small subunit ribosomal RNA", at positions 338 to 795 of the family's 1533-position model. The record is from RNAcentral.